GCCACAAGAAAUGACUCGAGCAGAUAAGGAUAGACAUGUUCAGGCCUGCACUAAUAUGUUUGAAUAUCAACAAAAGGACAAAAUUCUGGAUAGGGUCAUUAGUGAUAAAAAGUGGAUUUAUUUCAACACAGGUUGAAAAGGGGGAUGGUCUAUGCCAUGUGAGCCCGUCAGCAGCAUCGCAAAAUGCAAUUUGAUUAAUAAAAAGAUCAUGCUUUGCAUCUGGUGGGAUUGCAGUGGCAUUAUCCACAAACAGUUUGUGGAAAAAGCUAAAACCCUCAACAGUAAGGUGUGCAGCGAGAUGCAAGACGAUGUGUGUCUGCAUUCACAGGCUGAACUGUGUGCAGCCUGUGAAUGGUAUCUUUUGCCACACCCACCAUACAGCCCUGACAUCGCUCCUUCAGACUUCUACCUUUUUUCACACCUGCAGCCACAUCUUGCUGAUGCUAUCUUCCAUUCUGCACAGGGCGUCCAAAAUGAGGUUGACAAAUGUUUUUGGACCUGAGACCCCCAAGUUUCUGGGCUGAAGGUUUAGAAAAAUUACUAAAGCGUUGGCAGAAUACCAUAGAUUUGGAACAACAGAACAUCAUAGAUACCUGCACUAAAGAUCAAUCCAUACAUAAGACUUACAUAAUGCUGAUGACAUAGCUAAUUCAGAACUUGCUCAAAAUUUUCGAGAACUGGAACUUUUUCUUGGUAACUAUGGAUUUCGCUUCUACCUAUGUUCUCAUUAAGAUGUAUUUUACUACUUUUUUCCUACUGCAACAAAAUGAAAAAUGUAACUUUUCCAAAACAGGCGUGAAAAAUGUGCCAAGCAUUUGCAGCCACAAAAUGUUUCACUACAAUAAAAGAAAUAUGAUUUAAAUA
Stegodyphus dumicola is the source of this 864-nucleotide long non-coding RNA. The record is from RefSeq and is a predicted model, not a curated record. Lineage: Eukaryota; Metazoa; Arthropoda; Arachnida; Araneae; Eresidae.